UACGGGGGGGGUAAGCGUUGUUCGGAAUUACUGGGCGUAAAGGGCUCGUAGGCGGCCAACUAAGUCAUACGUGAAAUCCCUCAGCUUAACUGGGGAACUGCGUCUGAUACUGGAGGGCUUGAGUAUGGGAGAGGGAUGUAGAAUUCCAGGUGUAGCGGUGAAAUGCGUAGAUAUCUGGAGGAAUACCGGUGGCGAAGGCGGCAUCCUGGACCAUUACUGACGCUGAGGCGCGAAAGCUAGGGGAGCAAACGGG
This 253-nucleotide ribosomal RNA is filed under the name uncultured bacterium. RNAcentral's name for it is "partial 16S ribosomal RNA". It matches the Rfam family "Bacterial small subunit ribosomal RNA", at positions 524 to 776 of the family's 1533-position model. The record is from RNAcentral.